UGGGGAAUAUUGGACAAUGGGCGCAAGCCUGAUCCAGCCAUGCCGCGUGGAUGAUGAAGGCCCUAGGGUUGUAAAGUCCUUUUAACGGGGAAGAUAAUGACGGUACCCGUAGAAUAAGCCCCGGCUAACUUCGUGCCAGCAGCCGCGGUAAUACGAAGGGGGCGAGCGUUGUUCGGAUUUACUGGGCGUAAAGGGCGCGUAGGCGGCGAUGUAAGUCAGGCGUGAAAGCCCCGGGCUCAACCUGGGAGGUGCGCUUGGGACUACAUUGCUGGAGUUCGGGAGAGGAGCGUGGAAUUCCCAGUGUAGAGGUGAAAUUCGUAGAUAUUGGGAAGAACACCGGUGGCGAAGGCGGCGCUCUGGACCGAUACUGACGCUGAGGCGCGAAAGCGUGGGGAGCAAACAGGAUUAGAUACCCUGGUAGUCCACGCUGUAAACGAUGUGUGCUAGACGUUGGGGAGCCUAGCUCUUCGGUGUCGCCGCUAACGCUGUAAGCACACCGCCUGGGGAGUACGGCCGCAAGGUUA
This 524-nucleotide ribosomal RNA is filed under the name uncultured bacterium. Its description in RNAcentral is "bacterial SSU rRNA". It matches the Rfam family "Bacterial small subunit ribosomal RNA", at positions 355 to 896 of the family's 1533-position model. The record is from RNAcentral.